GUGCUCGCUUCUGCAAUGCAUAUACUAAAAUCGGAAUGAUGCAGAGAAGAUUAGCAUGGCCCCUGAGCAAGGAUGACAUAGAAAUUCUUGAAGCAUUCCAUAUUUUU
RNAcentral lists this small nuclear RNA (107 nucleotides) under Salvator merianae (Argentine black and white tegu). The record is from RNAcentral. Lineage: Eukaryota; Metazoa; Chordata; Lepidosauria; Squamata; Teiidae.